This 442-nucleotide long non-coding RNA is filed under the name Capsicum annuum. Its description in RNAcentral is "long non-coding RNA (CANN_LNC001717)". The record is from RNAcentral. Lineage: Eukaryota; Viridiplantae; Streptophyta; Magnoliopsida; Solanales; Solanaceae.
GAUCAGAGAGAAGGAUAUUAAGAGGGAUAGAUGGAAUUAAGGGAGAUAAAAACUAGAAAAAUAGAAAGAAGAAAUAGAGAGAUUAGGAAGAAGGUAAAAGAGUGAGAAAACUAAGGUGAGAGUGAAGACAAACCAUAUGAGAAAGAAAGAGAGAGAGAAGAAAAUAGAUUGAAAGUCAGUUUUCCAGUGACUUCCUUUAGGAAAAAAUGCCACCAGCUUCAUCCCACCCUAAUUUCCAACCAAAAAUACACCAGAACACCAAAACUUUAUCUCCACUGGCAAAGCCCACUGGUAAAAUGACAUUUUGACUGGAUUCACCCUAUUAGAAAUGUCGGUGAACCAAAUUAUUUCUGGUUAAAUAGUCACUGGAAAACACAAUUAUCACGUUGGGUCUGUAUUGAGUUUAUUGGAUCAAGGUUCUGAAUUUGGUUCCAAUUCAUGG